AAUGGGCGCAACUGCAUCUAGCCAUGCCGCGUGUGUGAUGAAGGUCUUAGGAUCGUAAAGCACUUUCGCCAGGGAUGAUAAUGACAGUACCUGGUAAAGAAACCCCGGCUAACUCCGUGCCAGCAGCCGCGGUAAUACGGAGGGGGUUAGCGUUGUUCGGAAUUACUGGSCGUAAAGCGUACGUAGGCGGAUCAGAAAGUUAGGGGUGAAAUCCCGAGGCUCAACCUCGGAACUGCCUCUAAAACUCCUGGUCUUGAGUUCGAGAGAGGUGAGUGGAAUUCCAAGUGUAGAGGUGAAGUYCGUAGAUAUUUGGAGGAACACCAGUGGCGAAGGCGGCUCACUGGCUCGAUACUGACGCUGAGGUACGAAAGUGUGGGGAGCAAACAGGAUUAGAUACCCUGGUAGUCCACACCGUAAACGAUGAAUGCCAGUCGUCGGGCAGUAUACUGUUCGGUGACACACCUAACGGAUUAAGCAUUCCGCCUGGGGAGUACGGUCGCAAGAUUAAAACUCAAAGGAAUUGACGGGGGCCCGCACAAGCGGUGGAGCAUGCGGUUUAAUUCGAAGCAACGCGCAGAACCUUACCAACCCUUGACAUCCUGUGCUAACUCGAGAGAUCGAGCGUUCACUUCGGUGACGCAGUGACAGGUGCUGCAUGGCUGUCGCCAGCUCGUGUCGUGAGAUGUUCGGUUAAGUCCGGCAACGAAGCGCAACCUCACAUCCUUAGUUGCCAGCAGUUCGGCUGGGCACUCUAAGGAAMSUGCCCGUGAAUAAGCGGGAGGAAGGUGUGGAUGACGUCAAGUCYUCAUGG
Molecule: ribosomal RNA, 811 nt
Filed under: uncultured Alphaproteobacteria bacterium
Lineage: Bacteria; Pseudomonadati; Pseudomonadota; Alphaproteobacteria
Description: bacterial SSU rRNA
Rfam family: Bacterial small subunit ribosomal RNA
Source: RNAcentral